This 596-nucleotide ribosomal RNA is filed under the name Triticum aestivum (bread wheat). RNAcentral's name for it is "partial small subunit ribosomal RNA". Lineage: Eukaryota; Viridiplantae; Streptophyta; Magnoliopsida; Poales; Poaceae. The record is from RNAcentral.
GUGGGCGACGGCCGUUGCGGGCAGUCCUGGACCUGGCCGGAGGUGCUGGUUGGCUGCGGACCCUCGUGCAGGCUGGGAGUGGAUGUGUGGCCGCGGUUUCCCUGCCGGGUGGUCGGUCGUUGGUCCUCGGCUAUGCAGCUACUUCGGCAAGUGCUGCGGUGGCGGCGGUGUGAGGCUUCUUGGCAGUGCUACCAAUCCCAUGGAGGCGUGGCGAUGGGCGAAGCGCGGAUGAAAAUUUUGCACGGCUUCUGCCGGGCCGGCGGUGAUGGCAUCUGUGGAUGUCAUUCCCCUCCUUGGAGGCAUCGUCGAGCGUGUUCGCCUCAUCCCUCGCGCUCUCGGUGUUGGUGGAUGUCUCCGGGUGAAAGCCUAGAUUCGAUGUUCGGAUCGGCACGAUGGCGGUGUCCUCGACGCCGCUCCUCUGUUGGGAGCAUUGUGUUUGGAGACACGACUGGUUCCUCGUUGCUCUCCUCCGGUGUUCGCCGCUAUCCUUUUCUGAUCUUCAGUGGCGCUAUGUACGUUGGUCGUCGGUGAAUCCAAGGCGGCGUCUUCCCGGAUUGGAUCGAGUCCUGCCAUUCAUCUGCCACUUUCUCUUAGGC